RNAcentral lists this long non-coding RNA (6532 nucleotides) under Ananas comosus (pineapple). RNAcentral's name for it is "long non-coding RNA (ACOM_LNC019152)". Lineage: Eukaryota; Viridiplantae; Streptophyta; Magnoliopsida; Poales; Bromeliaceae. The record is from RNAcentral.
AUAAUUACUUAAUAUGAUUAUUUAGUUAAUAUAUAUUUUCAUUACCUUUUACAAUAUUCUUAGCUAAUAAAUUUUUAAAUUUAUUAAAUUAUUUUUAAUUAAUAUUUAAUAUUAAAUAAUUUGAUAAAAUAUUAUUAAUUUAAAAUUAUAAUUAUUUUUAUUCCCACUAGUUAUUCCAAUCUAAUCAUAUAAAUACUAUUUACUUUAUUUUUAAAAAUAAUUAAAUUUUUAUCUAAAUAAAAUUUUACUCUAGAAUACCUAUUUUUGAAAUAAGCUGUUCUUAUUUACAUACAUGAACAUACAUGGGCAGACGAUGAAUAUUCGCGAGUAUGAAAUAAAUAAAAUAUACUAUUAUCACUACAACAAAAUUAGGUUAUAGGGACACAUGUUUGGGACACUUUUGAAUAAGUGUCCCAUUUAUACUAAAACUUAAAAAAAUAUCUACUAAUGCCUAAAUAUAAAGCCCAAUCCAACCAAAAAUAAAAAAUUACUCUACUCAACCCACCACAUCCAGUCCAUUUGACCCGAUUACAAACAGAAAAAAAAAAAGAAAAAUCAAUUACCAUCUUUUCUUCUUUCUUCACUCAAUCCACCGAAAUUCUAUACGAAGAGCCUUUCCUGUCGUCCUCCUCCGCCACCGCAGCCAACAAGAUAGAGUUUCGGCGUUUGCUAAAUACUUAAAUAAGUGUUGGUAAAUUAGCAACAUUUUUUUAGGUUAUAGCGACACUCUUUAACUGUCACUAUAUACCUAGCAACCCCACAUAUAGCAACACUUUUUAAAGUGUCGGUAAUUUUAGCUAGUAGUAUUUUUUUGACAUGUACCUAUAUUUAAAAGUAUCGCUAUAAACCGUUUUUGUUGUAGUUUAUUAUCUUAUAUAAAGGGCGUACUUGGAGUGGAUUUACAGCAUGCAUGGCCCAUGUGCUCCUCUCAUUCGACACGUCAUCGAAACCCUCCACUUUUCUCUCAGAUUAUACUCUAGAAUUUCUAUCUCUGAAAUAAACAAUUUUUAUUUAUAUCUGAACCAAAUGAAGCAUUAAACUUUAUACAUGAACAAACGAUGAAUAUUGACGAGUACGAAAUAAAUAGGUAUAUUAUUAUUAUUUAUAUGGAUUUGCAGCAUGGCCCACGUGCUCCUCGUUCGACACGUCGAUAACGCGACAAAACCCUCAAUUUUUCUCUCUGAUUAAGAGGGGAUGCAUACCAAGCAUGCAUCCUUUUUAUUUCCCCACCCCUACACAUGAUCUCUCUCAUUGCAUGCACGUCCAUUGGUCCACCGCCUUAGCUUAUUGAAUGUAAGUAACAAAACCUACUAGUAUAGGACCUGCGCUUUGCGACGAAUAGAUAGUAUUUUAAUCGUUGAAAGGAGAAGAGUGUUGCAGCGAAUUAAACUAAAAAUUUUAUUAAAUAUUUUUAAACUAAAUUUUGGUAGUGUAUUAUUUUCCACAUAUUUACAAUAGUCUAUAUAUAAGAACAAAUCAAAAAAUCCUAAUAGCAAUAAUUGAAUAAAGAUUUAAACUUAUCUCUUAUGUUUAACCAAUAAAAUAUUAAGAGAUAAACUUGAUAGAAAUGAAUGUGAACUUAUCAAAAAUGUUUGGUUACUUAUCAACAUUAACCAAUUAACAUGUACAUGUUUAUUAAAAUUUUAAUUUUAAAAAAUUAUAGCUAAAAAAAUGUAUGUACAUUAUAAAAAAUAAUUUUUUAUUAAUAAUUUUUUAUUUUUAAUAUUUAUGCAGUUAAAUUAUUCUAAUAACUUUAUUUUAAAAUUUUAAUUAAAUUUAAUGGUUUUGAUAGCUAUUUUAUAAAAAAAAAAUUUUAACUAAAAAGUUAAAGUUGGAGGACUUAUAUUAGAUGAUUUUAUCUUAUUAAAACUAAACUUUAUUUAUGUUAAAGUCAAAUUAAAAAAUAUAUGCGGAUGUCUUAUAUACCGAAUGUACAGCUUUUUAUGCACUGUAUUUAUAAAAUUUUGUUAUAAAAGUAAAAAUCUAUUAAUUUUGUAUCUAGAUUUUUUACAUAUUAUAAAUUAUAUUUAUCAGAUAAAAUUUUAAUUUUAUUAUAUUAAUUAUUAAAACAUAGCGUUGGAUCAUAUGAUGAAUUUUUAGAGAAACGAAAAAAGUGGGCUCUACUGAUUUGCCGCAAUACCAAGUGAAUAAUUUUUUUUGCACCGUAUUUAUAAUAUUUUAUUAUAAAUAUUAAAAUAUAUUAAUUUUUGUAUUUAUAUUGUUUUAUAUAUUAUAAAUUGUAUUUAUCACAUAAUUUUUUAAUUUUAUUAUAUUAAUUAUUUAAAAAUAAAUUUGAUUUAUAUGAUAAAAUUUUACACCUGAUGUAUGCUAAAACAAAAUAGAAAGUGUUGGUUCACAUGAAUGAGAGAGAGAGGACAGAAAAAAGUAGGGUCCACCGAUUUGUCCCAAAACCGGAGAGCAUGGUUUUACACUUUUCGGAUUCCCCUUUUAUGUUUUCAGAGAAUAAUGAUUAUUUUAUAUUAUUUAAUUUAAUAUAUAAUAUAUAAUAUUAAAGCAGGAGAUAUUAUAAGUUUGAAUAUUGUUAGGCUCUUAGUCUCAUAUUGUUUAAUUUUUUUUAUUUAAUUCAUGUCUAUGUCUCAAAUCUAUAAAAAAAAUUUUAAAGUCCAAACAUGUAGGAGAGUGUUGAAUGUGAAAAAAGAAUAAAAAUAUGCAGAAUUUAUCUGAAUUAUGGAUCAUUUUGAGUUGACUAUUUAAUCUUUCGAAAUUUUGAUUUUAUCGUUCAAUCUUUAAAUUUCUUUGAUUUCGGUCGGUAAACGAUUUUUUAACUUCAAAAUUUGAAUGUUUCGUUUAUCUUUAUAAAUUUAGUUAGCAUACUUCACGCAAUUAUCGCAACUGUAAAUUUAUUAAAAUAAAUAAUUAGCUUAAAUUUUGAAGUCAAAAUUCUAUAUACUGAUUCAAAUCAAACAAAUUGACAGGUUGGAUAAGAAAAAUUUUGGAUAAUCAACUCAAAAUGAUUCAUAGUUCAGAAAAGUUUUGUAUGUUUUUACUAAUAAUAAAAAUACUAUAUUUUCUGAUAGUUUAAUUUUUUUUUAGGAAUUAAUGAUUAUUUUAUUUUUUUAAGAAUUAAUGAUUAUUUUAUAUAAUUUAAUAGUAGCUUGGGAAUAUACUAUACUAUCACCAUUCACCCAAUAAAUUAACGUUUUCCAUGAUUUAAAUAUUAUUAUUUUUUUAAGACUAACUGAGAUUCUAAAUAGGGAAUUUUGUAAAGUUAGAAAAAUUUUGGUUCACAGAUGACAACAUGGUGGAAGAUGUAUAGAGAAUACUAUCUCUUCUCAUGUGUUUCUGGUGAAAUUGUUGCCUACUUGGUGUAUAGUACAUGUUGGUACAACUUAUACAAUAUAUACACCUUAAUUAAAUACUAAAAUAGAGGACUCAAAGUUCUAAAUCUAACUCAAUUGAAUAUUUUUAUGCAAUAUUAAAAAUCUUACAUGUUAGAUAUUUGUUUUUCAUUUUUACAAAUCAAAUAAUGCUCCUAUCUCUGCUGUUAAUUUUGAUUAAUGUAUAGUUAAUCAAAAAAUUUUGAAUUUUGAAUAUAGCUAAUAUAACAACAAUUUAAGAUCAGAUCAUAUAUAUCUCGAUCAUUAAUCUAAACUUUAAGACUAAAUUAUACGUCUCAGAUGUUCAGCUCAAGUAAAAAAUUCUUAAAAUCUCGUGCUUUUUAGUACUCAAUAUAUAUUGGUAUAUAACCUUGUAAAAGUCCUUUUGUAUUUUAUAGAUGUAUAAAAAAAAAAAGUUAAUUAGGCUCUUCAAAAUUUUUUGCAUGUAGCUAGACUCCUCGAGUAAGUUUUCUUUUCUUCUUCUUUAUUUUUUUAUAAUAACAUAUCAUAUAUUAUUAUUAUUAUUACUAUUACUACUACUAUUAUUAUAAUUAUUGUUAUCGUGCAUGUAACUACACAAAUAUAUGGCGUAGUGACAAAGACCAAUUUAGGGUUAUAUGUUUUGAAGAAACACGAUCCAACCAAACUGAAUCGAAAUUUCGUUGAGUUCAGUAAUUCUUGUAAUUAGCGCGAUAAAUUUUUAAAUAGUCAUAACCUUUUCGCUAGCUUGAGUAUAUAUCUGAUUUUAACGUGCAAUCUCAAUUCGAAAUAUACUUUCGAGAUCUACGCAUCAAAUGGCCUUAGCCACUUUGGCUGAGUUUGAGACCCAAAUUCAAUUGUUUCGAUCUCUGUUUUUAUAUUCUUAGUUUAUUUUUGAAAAAUUCUGCAUUUUUUUUUACUUUUAUAUGAUCAUUUAAUUAUUUUUUAAUCUAAUUAGGUUUAGAGAUAUAUUGGAAUUUAUUAUUUUCGUCUAGUAAGAUUCAAAAUUUAUUUUUUAUAAUACAUAAACGUGACGUUCGGUUAAUGUAAUUAGAGAUUUUGAAAGUUGAUUAAUAAUAUCUUAUCUUUGUCGAAAAUUUGAUUUUUCAUGUAUCAUCUCUUUCCGUCUGUUUUUUUUCUCUCUCAACGCAGCUUUAGGUGUGCAUCUGUUAAAGUUAAAUUAGUAUCAUUCAUGCUAUUUGACUUGGCCACCCAGUUGUUUGAAGAAUCAAAAUACAUUCUCGGACGUCAACUUACAAGUCAAAAAUCGAUUCAACAAAAAAACAAAGAAAAAAAAAAAAAACUUUAAGAGCCUGUUUGGAUGCACAAUAAAAAAUCUCCAUGGAAUUUAUAAACUGUGGUUUUGGUCCAAAUGAAGUAAGAAAUCCUGUAAUUCUAAAAAAGUCCACUGAUUCAAUUUUUAAAAUUUAAAAUUUAAAUAAAAUUUAAAAUUUGAUAUGUGAAAUGUGAAAUUUUAAAUUUUAAAUUCUAAAUUUUAAAAUUUGAAAAUUAAAAUUUUAAAAUAUAAAAAUCUAAAUUUAAUUUUAAAAUUUUAAAAUUUUAAAUUUUAAAAUAAAAAAUUUUAAAUUUUAAAUUGAGAAUUUAGAAUUUUAAUUUUUAAAAAUAAAUUUAAAAUUUAAAGUUCAAAAUUUGAAAUUUAAACUAUGAGAUUUGAGAUUUGAAAUUUAAAAUUUAUAAUUUAUAAUUUAAAAUUUAAAAUUUAAAAUUUAUUAAUUUAAAAUUUAAAAUUUAAGAUUUAUUAAUUUAAAAUUUAAAAUUUAUUAAUUUAAAAUUUAAAAUUUAAAAGUUAAAAGUUAAAAUUUGAAAAUUAAAAUUUAAAAUUCAAAAAUUACGUUAUUUGUUUUAAUAUAGUUUAACUAUACUCCAAAAAUUACGUGUUUUUUUUUUUUUCCAAUCUCUUUAUAGGAUAAUUUUUCCUACCGGUGUAGUAUAGUUUAACUAUGCUACGUUUUUAGGGAUAUCCAAACGGGGUCUUGGUAGUUAAUGAUUGUUUAUUUGUAUAAUUUUAGGAUGCUUAUUACUCUUUAAUUACUGCUUAUGGCAACCAUCUCUAAGGCACACUAAUCAAUUAAAUACAAACAAAACAUUUUAGGACAAGAACAAAAGUUUCAAUGUCUCCCACUCUAGAUCAACAAGGAAAGGGACUUCAAACUAAUGUCUCACACUCUAGAUCAACUAGGAAAGGGACUUCAAACUAAUGUCUCCCACUCUAGAUCAACAAGGAAAGGGACUUCAAACUAAAACAAAGACCAAGAUAAGCUAAUUCAUUAUUGGAGUGCAAGUCAAUUGCUGGCUGGUGUUCAACUGUUCCACUUGGGCUUUAUUUGGAAAUGCCGCAGCGCGUGCAAGAAUCAAAAAUCGAUCGGUCAAACUGCUCGUACAGUUGAUAAAAAUACUAUAUUUUAUGCUAACGAUAGUAAAUUCUUGAUAAAAGUUGUUGAUGUAUAUAUGUUUUGUACUAAUCUUGCCAAUUUAACAUUAGAGUUUUUGAAAAAACGUGACUUAGCCAAGUUGAGUCGAAAAUUACGAUGAAUUUGAUAAUUUUUACAAUAAGUGUGAAAAGUCUUUAAAUGGUUUUCGUGUAUCUCUUUUUUUCCGUCCUUAUGCUUCUUCCCUCUCAACACGAUUUAGGUCUGCGUCAUGCACUACAACAGAAUUAGGUUAUAGGGAUACAUGUUUGGGACACUUUUGAGUAAGUGUCCCAUUUAUACUAAAACUUAAAAAAAUAUCUACUUAUGCCUAAAUAUAAAGCCCAAUCUAACCAAAAAUAAGAGAUUACUCUACUCAACCCACCACACCCAGUCCAUUUGAGCCGAUUACAAAUAGAAAAGAAAAAAAAAGAAAAAUAAAUUACCAUUUUUUCUUCUCUCUUCACUCAAUCCACUGAAAUUUUAGACGAAGAGCCUUUCUUGUCGUCCUCCUCCGCCACCGCAGCCAACGAGAUAGAGUUUCGGCGGUUGCUAAAUGCUUAAAUAAGUGUUGGUAAAUUAGCAGCACUCUUUUAGGUUAUAGCGACACUCUUUUACUGUCACUAUAUACCUAGCGACCCCACAUAUAGCAACACUUUUUAAAAGUGUCGGUAAUUUUAGCUAGCAGCACUUUUUUGACUUGUACCUACAUUUAAAAGUGUCGCUAUAGACCGUUUUUGUUGUAGUGGAUAUGUACGCAUUCUAAAUUAAAAAAAUUAUAAUUUC